This 72-nucleotide transfer RNA is filed under the name Camelus bactrianus (Bactrian camel). It matches the Rfam family "tRNA". From Rfam's summary of the family: Transfer RNA (tRNA) molecules are approximately 80 nucleotides in length. Their secondary structure includes four short double-helical elements and three loops (D, anti-codon, and T loops). The record is from Rfam by way of RNAcentral. Lineage: Eukaryota; Metazoa; Chordata; Mammalia; Artiodactyla; Camelidae. RNAcentral also lists the same sequence under 3 other names.
UGGGGAAUAGCUCAGUGGUAGAGCACAUGCCUAGCAUGCACGAGGUCUUAGGUUCAAUCCCCAGUGCCUCCA